Molecule: ribosomal RNA, 512 nt
Filed under: uncultured bacterium
Lineage: Bacteria
Description: bacterial SSU rRNA
Rfam family: Bacterial small subunit ribosomal RNA
Source: RNAcentral
CUGGCUCAGGAUGAACGCUAGCUACAGGCUUAACACAUGCAAGUCGAGGGGCAUCAUGGAGUUUGCUUGCAAACUCUGAUGGCGACCGGCGCACGGGUGAGUAACGCGUAUCCAACCUUCCCUAUAGUAGAGGAUAGCCCGGCGAAAGUCGGAUUAAUACUCUAUGUUUUCCGUUGCAGACAUCUAAGAUGGAACAAAGGCUUGCCGCUAUAGGAUGGGGGAUGCGUCUGAUUAGGUAGUCGGCGGGGUAACGGCCCACCGAGCCAUCGAUCAGUAGGGGUUCUGAGAGGAAGGUCCCCCCACAUUGGAACUGAGACACGGUCCAAACUCCUACGGGAGGCAGCAGUGAGGAAUAUUGGUCAAUGGGCGAGAGCCUGAACCAGCCAAGUAGCGUGCAGGAUGACGGCCCUAUGGGUUGUAAACUGCUUUUAUGCGGGGAUAAAGUUCACUACGUGUAGUGUUUUGUAGGUACCGCAUGAAUAAGGACCGGCUAAUUCCGUGCCAGCCGCUGC